Molecule: long non-coding RNA, 803 nt
Organism: Pygoscelis adeliae (Adelie penguin)
Lineage: Eukaryota; Metazoa; Chordata; Aves; Sphenisciformes; Spheniscidae
Exons: 2
Source: RefSeq, a predicted model, not a curated record
UCAAAACUGAAAUAGAAAGUCUAAAACCAGAAUUUGAGAAUUGUUUUUCCAGCGUGUAUUUUCUGACAUCUUGUUUUUAAUCUUCUACAUCUCCCUUUUCUCAAUUUUCUGCUGGAUUUCUCCUUUCCCCCCACUCCAGAAGGAGAGUUCUCUCCUUUAUAAGCCUUUCUGCCACUGAACAAACUGCCUCAUACUAUUGCCUCACGACAAGAAGCCUGAGGUUUUGUCAGCGGUAACAGUUUUCGGUCCAAUGGGUGCGUGCACACGCAGUAAUGAAGAUGUUGCAGAUCCUUGCAGAAAGACCUCUUUUGAAGAUCUAACUCAUCUGGGCUGCCAGCAUUGCUGACAGGCCGCAUUCAGUCAACAGCGAGGAAAAUACCGGUACCCUUCUACACAAAUCAGUGCUGUCGGAAGUUGAGCACAGAUCACACAAAAGCCUCGUACAGAAGUCCCCUUUCUAGAUAAACCUCGUCAACGAUGCCCUCGCUUCCAUGGAAGUCUGAGUGGGCAGCAGCGUUGAUCCAGCAUUGCAGGAUCAUGGCCUGCCCGCCUUGUCAUCUUGCCUGACUUCUAAGUGCUUUUUAGGUAAUUUUGUUUCCACUGUAAGAACAGUUUAACUCUUCUGUAUCUUUCUGAGAGGAAGAAUAUGCUUAUAAACAUUGUCAAAUGUAAUGCCAUGUUACUAGUCUACUCCAGGAAGGUGAAAAUGUUCUUACAUAAACAUGUUAUCCUUAUGUGCUGAUUUUUCUCUCUGCAUGUUGUACUGAUGAGUUCUGUAUAAAUAAAGUUUAGUAGAGGAAUUC